Molecule: long non-coding RNA, 389 nt
Filed under: Hordeum vulgare
Lineage: Eukaryota; Viridiplantae; Streptophyta; Magnoliopsida; Poales; Poaceae
Description: long non-coding RNA (HVUL_LNC008727)
Source: RNAcentral
ACUAGUCGGCGGGCGCGGCGCGGGACCGUAGGUCGCCGCUGCCGGCGGCCAUCCGAAGAGCCCUCCGGCGGGGCAGAGAGCCUCCGCGCGAGGAGAGGCUGCUGUGAGCGAGGAGGAAAGGAGAAGGGCCGGCCAGAUCCGAGCUCACCUCGGCGGGGCAAGGUGGCCGCCGUGCAAGGAGAGGCCGACAGGCCGUAGGAGCUCGCGAGAGCCAAGAGGGGUGAGGGAAGGUGGCCACUGCCGUGGGUCUCGUCGGCGGAACAGAGGGCCUCCGCGCCAGAGAACAGGGCGAGAGAAAACGGCGCGACAGGAAGAAAAUAAACGCUAGGGUUUUCGGCUCGGUGGCGAGAGGGAGUUUUAUCCGAGCGAGCGUUGCGCCCGGCCGUCGG